Trematomus bernacchii (emerald rockcod) is the source of this 209-nucleotide long non-coding RNA. RefSeq lists it as uncharacterized. The transcript is spliced from 3 exons. The record is from RefSeq and is a predicted model, not a curated record. NCBI's taxonomy places the organism in Eukaryota, Metazoa, Chordata, Actinopteri, Perciformes, Nototheniidae.
AACAUCUGGGAGGCCUCGUCCAGCUCCACAUGCAGGUCCCGGACGCUGGGGCACUCUGGAGGCAGAAGGAGGAGCAGGCAGGGGGGUUAAUUAAUUCUACACCACGACAAUUCAGAGGGCUUUUACUUGUAUCACAGUCUUCCUACACUUCAGCUGAGGUGAGUGUGUGGGUGGUGUUGUUGGUGGUGGAGCUUCACCUGUGAGCAGCG